CCUACGGGAGGCAGCAGUGAGGAAUAUUGGUCAAUGGACGCAAGUCUGAACCAGCCAUGCCGCGUGCAGGAAGACGGCUCUAUGAGUUGUAAACUGCUUUUGUACGAGGGUAAACGCAGAUACGCGUAUCUGUCUGAAAGUAUCGUACGAAUAAGGAUCGACUAACUCCGUGCCAGCAGCCGCGGUAAUACGGAGGAUUCAAGCGUUAUCCGGAUUUAUUGGGUUUAAAGGGUGCGUAGGCGGUCGGAUAAGUUAGAGGUGAAAUCCCGAGGCUCAACUUCGGAAUUGCCUCUGAUACUGUUCGGCGAGAGAGUAGUUGCGGUAGGCGGAAUGUAUGGUGUAGCGGUGAAAUGCUUAGAGAUCAUACAGAACACCGAUUGCGAAGGCAGCUUACCAAGCUACUUCUGACGUUGAGGCACGAAAGCGUGGGGAGCAAACAGGAUUAGAUACCCGGGUAGUC
RNAcentral lists this ribosomal RNA (460 nucleotides) under uncultured bacterium. RNAcentral's name for it is "partial 16S ribosomal RNA". It matches the Rfam family "Bacterial small subunit ribosomal RNA", at positions 338 to 795 of the family's 1533-position model. The record is from RNAcentral.